RNAcentral lists this ribosomal RNA (497 nucleotides) under uncultured bacterium. Its description in RNAcentral is "partial 16S ribosomal RNA". It matches the Rfam family "Bacterial small subunit ribosomal RNA", at positions 28 to 507 of the family's 1533-position model. The record is from RNAcentral.
GAUGAACGCUGGCGGCGUGCCUAAUACAUGCAAGUCGAGCGAACAGACGAGGAGCUUGCUCCUCUGACGUUAGCGGCGGACGGGUGAGUAACACGUGGAUAACCUACCUAUAAGACUGGGAUAACUUCGGGAAACCGGAGCUAAUACCGGAUAAUAUAUUGAACCGCAUGGUUCAAUAGUGAAAGACGGUUUUGCUGUAACUUAAAGAUGGAUCCGCGCCGCAUUAGCUAGUUGGUAAGGUAACGGCUUACCAAGGCGACGAUGCGUAGCCGACCUGAGAGGGUGAUCGGCCACACUGGAACUGAGACACGGUCCAGACUCCUACGGGAGGCAGCAGUAGGGAAUCUUCCGCAAUGGGCGAAAGCCUGACGGAGCAACGCCGCGUGAGUGAUGAAGGUCUUCGGAUCGUAAAACUCUGUUAUUAGGGAAGAACAAAUGUGUAAGUAACUAUGCACGUCUUGACGGUACCUAAUCAGAAAGCCACGGCUAACUACGUG